Molecule: ribosomal RNA, 390 nt
Filed under: uncultured bacterium
Lineage: Bacteria
Description: bacterial SSU rRNA
Rfam family: Bacterial small subunit ribosomal RNA
Source: RNAcentral
AUCCGGAAACGGGUGCUAAUACCGCAUAGUUUCUUGAUCGCAUGAUCGGGAAAGGAAAGACGGCCUUUGUGCUGUCGCUUAUGGAUGGACCCCGCGGCGUAUUAGUUAGUUGGUGAGGUAACGGCUCACCGAAGACGAUGAUACGUAGCCGACCUGAGAGGGUGAUCGGCCACAUUGGGACUGAGACACGGCCCAAACUCCUACGGGAGGCAGCAGUAGGGAAUCUUCCGCAAUGGACGAAAGUCUGACGGAGCAACGCCGCGUGAGUGAAAAGAAGGUUUUUCGGAUCGUAAAACUCUGUUGUCAGAGAAGAACAAGUUGGAGAGUAACUGCUCCAGCCUUGACGGUAUCUGACCAGAAAGCCACGGCUAACUACGUGCCAGCCGCCGC